RNAcentral lists this ribosomal RNA (432 nucleotides) under Salmonella enterica subsp. enterica serovar Enteritidis. Its description in RNAcentral is "partial 23S ribosomal RNA". It matches the Rfam family "Bacterial large subunit ribosomal RNA", at positions 89 to 561 of the family's 2925-position model. Lineage: Bacteria; Pseudomonadati; Pseudomonadota; Gammaproteobacteria; Enterobacterales; Enterobacteriaceae. The record is from RNAcentral.
UAUGAACCGUUAUAACCGGCGAUACCCGAAUGGGGAAACCCAGUGUGAUUCGUCACACUAUCAUUAACUGAAUCCAUAGGUUAAUGAGGCGAACCGGGGGAACUGAAACAUCUAAGUACCCCGAGGAAAAGAAAUCAACCGAGAUUCCCCCAGUAGCGGCGAGCGAACGGGGAGGAGCCCAGAGCCUGAAUCAGCAUGUGUGUUAGUGGAAGCGUCUGGAAAGGCGCGCGAUACAGGGUGACAGCCCCGUACACAAAAGCGCAUGUGCUGUGAGCUCGAUGAGUAGGGCGGGACACGUGGUAUCCUGUCUGAAUAUGGGGGGACCAUCCUCCAAGGCUAAAUACUCCUGACUGACCGAUAGUGAACCAGUACCGUGAGGGAAAGGCGAAAAGAACCCCGGCGAGGGGAGUGAAAAAGAACCUGAAACCGUGU